RNAcentral lists this ribosomal RNA (495 nucleotides) under uncultured bacterium. Its description in RNAcentral is "partial 16S ribosomal RNA". It matches the Rfam family "Bacterial small subunit ribosomal RNA", at positions 30 to 507 of the family's 1533-position model. The record is from RNAcentral.
UGAACGCUGGCGGCGUGCCUACUACAUGCACGUCGAGCGAACAGAUGCGGAGCUUGCUCCUCUGACGUUAGCGGCGGACGGGUGAGUAACACGUGGAUAACCUACCUAUAAGACUGGGAUAACUUCGGGAAACCGGAGCUAAUACCGGAUAAUAUAUUGAACCGCAUGGUUCAAUAGUGAAAGACGGUUUUGCUGUCACUUAUAGAUGGAUCCGCGCCGCAUUAGCUAGUUGGUAAGGUAACGGCUUACCAAGGCAACGAUGCGUAGCCGACCUGAGAGGGUGAUCGGCCACACUGGAACUGAGACACGGUCCAGACUCCUACGGGAGGCAGCAGUAGGGAAUCUUCCGCAAUGGGCGAAAGCCUGACGGAGCAACGCCGCGUGAGUGAUGAAGGUCUUCGGAUCGUAAAACUCUGUUAUUAGGGAAGAACAAAUGUGUAAGUAACUAUGCACGUCUUGACGGUACCUAAUCAGAAAGCCACGGCUAACUACGUG